CUCUGGCAUCCAUAUAACAUUCUGAUGUCAGGUGUCAAGUCCUGACUCCAGCAGGUGCAGGCUCUCAAGCAACAGCCCCCCGGGGCCGGGGUGAUAGAAGGGGCACUAAAGGAUGCCCCCACAGCGACUGGUCGUCAGCAGCUCAGCUCCAGGAGGCGAACACGCUGUCAUCCGCGUCCAGCAGGGCCUGGGGCUUGUCGUACUCCAGGAUGAUGCCCCGCUUCAUCACAAUCACCAGGUCGGCGUUCAGGAUGGUGUGGACGCGGUGCUGCACAGUGGGGAGGAAGAGAGUCGGUCACUAGUCUAUAGAGUAAAACAUUGUCUUUCAGUACAUCUUGAGGCACAUGUCCUCACUGUGGGAGUCCGGCAUCUGCCCGGGUUUCCCCCCCGUUCCUUCUUUUCUCUUAUACCUUUUUUUAAAUUUUCCUCUCUGUAGGGGAGAUACUCACUGCUAUAGUCACCACUGUUCGGUCGGCAAACGCAGUCAUCACCACCUUCUGCAGGAUGCUCUCCUGUGAGAGAGGGAGAGAGGAGGAGGAUGACACUGACAAACUCACGUCCAUGUCGCCUCAGAAUCAGAGUAUAAAUUCAUUCAAAAUUCAUUUUAAACAGUCCCUCACUCUCUUGUAGCGUCUCUUUCAAACUGUUUCCUCGAGGGCAGUGCUGCCGCUGCUGCUGCUGCUGCUGCUUUGACGCGAGAUAGGAACGUUGCUCUUUGUGGCCGCUCAUUGAAACCAGGGUCUUUAGUAAGACGCGGUCACCGUGUUCCCCUCAGGCUCUCAACCCCGCUCAGUGUUUUCCCUCCAUUUCAGCCUCUCGCUCUCUGCCUCAUACUGUACACACUUCCUCCUCCAGCGGCUGAAGAAAAUAUCUUUUAAAAAUACAAGCCGUGAUCCAAACAUGAUCAAAACUUGCGAUCGCUGCCAAACCGAUUAUACAAGAGAACAAAAUCUGAGUUGUUUCUGUAUUUUUGUUGCUGUCAAUGGUUUAUAUUUUCAAUGAAGCUCAAGAAAUGCAGAUUUUCCAUCCACAGAUUAUAACUUUUAUAAAUUCAAAUAUGUACUUUUAGAGCUUAAAGAAUACGUAAAGGUGAAGAUUGGGUCAUGAAUAUACGUAGUUCUCCCUACAUUGCACUGUAUUCAUUAUAGUAUUUCUAUUUUAUCUUACCUGCCUUAGAUUCUGCUAUCUAUUCUUAUUUUAUUAAAUUUUUUUAUUCCAUUUUCCCCUUGUGCUGCCACACGUCUGUGGUGCCGUGUCAAAUUAGAAUUUCCCCCUACAGGGAUCCAUGAAGGCAAAUCUUAUCUAAUCUAAUCUUAUGAAUUCUCCAUCUUUCUGCUUGCCCCUUCAUUGCGCAUCGUUUCCAUGCCUUCUCCUUUUCUUCCCCCUUCUCUUCACCUUGUAUUCCUGCGCCGCCUCCCUCCGUCGUCUCCUCUCCACUUAGCUUUCUUUGUCAAACACACACUGACCGUUGCCAUGUCUAUGGACGCCGUGGCUUCAUCCAUGAUGAGGAUGCUGCUCUUCCUCACGAAGGCCCUGGCCAGACAGAACAGCUGCCUCUGACCCUGACUGAAGUUCUCCCCUCCCUCCGUCACCAUGGCGUCUGCAAGAAAAAAGAAAAAAACACAUCUUUGAUUCUCUAACUUUGAGGAGCACACAACGCCGCCCAGUCGAUAUUAAUAUGUGUGAAAGAUGUAACAGAGUUAAGUUGCAGAUUGCUUUUAUAUGCAAUGUAUAAAUACCACUCUGUUAUUUCAGUGAGACGAGAGGACAAAGUUAAUUAGCCAUUUACUCCUGUCUUCUAAGUCUAUAUUGCAUAUUGAUUUCACAUUCUGUGUUAUGAAGGAGGCACGGUAAAGUGAAGUGAUCCUGAUUCCUUUUGGGGGUUUUUUUUAAAUCAAAAGGAAACUUUUAAUAAGCGUUUAUUUGGUGUUAUUGCAAAGUCUGGGGAGCGUUUCAACUCCACGACUUUCACUCUGCUUUUAUUUUGUGUACAUUUUCAUAUUUAUUUGACAUUUAUAAGAACAGAGACGGACGGGAAGACCAGGGGAGAGAAUCAAAGCGCGGGGACGCCUCGACGAUGACGACGUGAGGGAUGAAGUUGAGGUGAAUAUUUCAUUAAAAACAUCAGCCUUUUAUUGAAUGUGGCCAAGCAUUGUCCUCUUGUCGCAUGGAUGAAAAGUAAAAUCUUAACAAUA
This is a long non-coding RNA of Scophthalmus maximus (turbot), 2195 nucleotides long. RefSeq lists it as uncharacterized. The transcript has 2 exons. NCBI's taxonomy places the organism in Eukaryota, Metazoa, Chordata, Actinopteri, Pleuronectiformes, Scophthalmidae. The record is from RefSeq and is a predicted model, not a curated record.